GCAACACUCUCUCCACUUGUGAUUUCCAGCAACUGGUAUUCAGAGGGCACCCAAGUGACCAGUAUCCUUGGACAAGUAGAAUAAACUCAAGGCACAUUCUAAAGCAAGCAGAUGACAGAAUGACACAAACUUACAUCCAGCGAAGGCUCCGGCAUAUCAGAUGUCCCCUGCCCACCAGUCUGACCUUCUAAGGCUGAGGAGGGGUUAAAGGCCAG
Long non-coding RNA from Lacerta agilis (Sand lizard), 215 nucleotides. RefSeq lists it as uncharacterized. Lineage: Eukaryota; Metazoa; Chordata; Lepidosauria; Squamata; Lacertidae. The record is from RefSeq and is a predicted model, not a curated record. The transcript has 3 exons.